RNAcentral lists this ribosomal RNA (253 nucleotides) under uncultured bacterium. RNAcentral's name for it is "partial 16S ribosomal RNA". It matches the Rfam family "Bacterial small subunit ribosomal RNA", at positions 524 to 776 of the family's 1533-position model. The record is from RNAcentral.
UACGUAGGGGGCUAGCGUUGUCCGGAUUUAUUGGGCGUAAAGAGCGUGUAGGCGGCCAGGUAGGUCUGCUGUGAAAACUCGAGGCUCAACCUCGAGAUGUCGGCGGAAACCAUCUGGCUAGAGUCCGGAAGAGGAGAGUGGAAUUCCUGGUGUAGCGGUGAAAUGCGCAGAUAUCAGGAAGAACACCCGUGGCGAAGGCGGCUCUCUGGGACGGUACUGACGCUGAGGUGCGAAAGCGUGGGGAGCAAACAGG